ACGCGUGGGUAACCUGCCUCAUACACAUGGAUAACAUACCGAAAGGUAUGCUAAUACAAGAUGAUAUAAGAGAUUCGCAUGGAUUUCUUAUCAAAGCUCCGGCGGUAUGAGAUGGACCCGCGUCUGAUUAGCUAGCUGGUAAGGUAAUGGCUUACCAAGGCAACGAUCAGUAGCCGACCUGAGAGGGUGAUCGGCCACAUUGGAACUGAGACACGGUCCAAACUCCUACGGGAGGCAGCAUG
This 242-nucleotide ribosomal RNA is filed under the name uncultured bacterium. Its description in RNAcentral is "partial 16S ribosomal RNA". It matches the Rfam family "Bacterial small subunit ribosomal RNA", at positions 113 to 353 of the family's 1533-position model. The record is from RNAcentral.